AAGCUCGUAGUUAAUCUUCUGUUAAUUUUUAUAUAUAAUGUUACGAUAUUUAUAUAAUAUUAACAUAAUUCAUAUUACUUUUUAGUAUAUGAAACUUUACUUUGAGAAAAUUAGAGUGCUUAAAGCAGGCUAUUGCCUUGAAUACUCCAGCAUGGAAUAAUAUUAAGGAUUUUUAUUCUUCUUAUUGGUUCUAGAAUAAAAAUGAUGAUUAAUAGGGACAGUUGGGGGCAUUUGUAUUUAACAGUCAGAGGUGAAAUUCUUAGAUUUGUUAAAGACAAACUACUGCGAAAGCAUUUGCCAAGGAUGUUUUCAUUAAUCAAGAACGAAAGUUAGGGGAUCGAAGACGAUCAGAUACCGUCGUAGUCUUAACCAUAAACUAUGCCAACUAGAGAUUGGAGGUUGUUCCUU
This 408-nucleotide ribosomal RNA is filed under the name Cryptosporidium bovis. RNAcentral describes it as "SSU rRNA". It matches the Rfam family "Eukaryotic small subunit ribosomal RNA", at positions 624 to 1068 of the family's 1831-position model. Lineage: Eukaryota; Apicomplexa; Conoidasida; Eucoccidiorida; Cryptosporidiidae. The record is from RNAcentral.